GAAAGUGGGACUCAUGUUAUAUCUGUCGGCGUACGGGAAAUACUAGAAUCUAUCAAGGAAGUUGUUGGAAAUCAUUCCGAUGCUGAUAUUUAUGUGACUCUUAAAGAAACCAACAUGGACCCUAAUGAAACUGCUCAGAAAUUGCUCAAUCAAGAACCAUGGGUAUAAAAGUUCUACUGCUCCAGAAAAUGGAAAUUAUUUAGAGCAUGAUGCACAUGAAAUGAGGAUCAACACACACAUCAAUCGUAACAUCCGAAGAGGGAGCUACAAUCGAACUG
This 278-nucleotide unclassified non-coding RNA is filed under the name Hevea brasiliensis (rubber tree). Lineage: Eukaryota; Viridiplantae; Streptophyta; Magnoliopsida; Malpighiales; Euphorbiaceae. The record is from RNAcentral.